UUUUAAGAGUCGAAGUCUUUUCUGUUGUCCAUGCUGGAGUGCAGUGGCACAAUUAUAGCUCACUGUGGUCUCAAACUCCUGAGUGUAAACAAUCCUCCUGUCUCAGCCUCCCAAGUAGCUGGGAAAAAAAAAAAAAAAACAAAAAACACCACAAUUACAUAUUGUGUUGCACACAGGAAAUAAAGAUUGUGAUAGUUUGCAGCCUUAUAAGUUUGCAAACUCCCUCUAAAUUAAAAAAAACACUAAAUUAUACAUUUUGUGUAAAGUAAUUGCUCAUGUAACGAGCCCCCCACGCCAUGCUUAACCCAAAUGUCCUAUUCUCCAGAACUGACAGCUUCACAGAAAGAAAGACAGCAGUUAAUGAACUCAAUAACAAGGCUGAGUUAGAGUAUGUACUAGUCUAAGAGAAACUUCCGAGUCAAGUAACAUAUUUCAGUAAAUAAAAAAUGAUUUCAGACAGCUCCAAAUUCUAGAUAAAACUGUUUUGCCUCAGAAAAACAUUUCUGGAAGAAAAAUGGCAAAUUUCAUCAUCCCUAAAAGUGUGAACACAGUCAACACUUACAGCCUACACCUACCUGAACUUUAGUUCUUGUAAAGCCAGUGAGAAUUUGACAUCACCUCAGGGCAAUGAGGAUGAAACUCUAUUAUGAAUGUGUAGGACUAACUGAGGACCUCAUCACCACAUUUCUGUCUAGUCUGUUAUCCACAGGACUGAAGAAUUUGAUCAGUAUUCUCCUCAAUUUCCCGUAUAGGAAAAAGACAGAGAAAGGAUAAGAAACAUGUGAAUUUGUAUUCUGAAAGCAGAAUAGAAAGGAAAAGUACAUCUUAUUAAGACCUUGGCAAGUGGCAAGUACUAUAACGUUGAGGUCAAAUCUUCCUUGUUUACAAAUGUAAUUCUAUGGCAAAGCUAUUAUAAACUGUCUUAUGGUUUCAACCUCAUGUAGGUUAAUUUUACAUCAACACACAUAAAAUUUAAAGCUAAAGGAAAAUUGCCAAAUAAUUCCAGGAUCUAACUUUAUUUGUCCAGUAAAUAUUGUUAAUCACCUACGGCUAAGCAUUGCGGUGGGAUUGGAGGUGGGGAAGUAAGUAAAAUAAGUAAAACCUUCUCUCACUUUAAUUGCAUCUGUGAGAUUUUAAAAUUGUAACAUAUUCUCUGUGCUAGUUUUUUAAACAAUUCUGAUUCUACAAAAAAAAUUUCAUUGGGAUCAUUCCAAAACAUAUUUGUCAAGGUGGUCUGUCAC
This 1241-nucleotide long non-coding RNA is filed under the name Homo sapiens (human). RNAcentral's name for it is "HSALNT0041375". Lineage: Eukaryota; Metazoa; Chordata; Mammalia; Primates; Hominidae. The record is from RNAcentral.